This 247-nucleotide unclassified non-coding RNA is filed under the name Hevea brasiliensis (rubber tree). Lineage: Eukaryota; Viridiplantae; Streptophyta; Magnoliopsida; Malpighiales; Euphorbiaceae. The record is from RNAcentral.
GUCAUAUCUUCCCUAGCUUUUGCUUUAUCCUUUGUCUUACCUUCUAUAUUCAUCACUGUGUUGAAUAUAUUCUCAAAGACAUUUUUCUCAAUGUGCAUAAUAUCUAAGUUAUGUCGAAUGAGGUUGGAAGACCAAUAUGGUAAAUCCCAAAAGAUACUCUUUUUCCGCCAACCAGUGUUUCUAGCUAUGAUAGCAUUAACCGCUUCACCAACACUAUCUAUCACUCUCCUUAACCCUAAAUCUUCUA